This 915-nucleotide ribosomal RNA is filed under the name uncultured archaeon. RNAcentral describes it as "bacterial SSU rRNA". It matches the Rfam family "Archaeal small subunit ribosomal RNA", at positions 1 to 923 of the family's 1478-position model. The record is from RNAcentral.
UCYGGUUGAUCCUGCCRGACCCGACUGCUAUCAGAGUGAGACUAAGCCAUGCGAGUUAACGUAUGAAUAAUACGUGGCACACGGCUCAGUAACACGUAGUCAACAUGCCCAGAGGACGUGGAUAACCUCGGGAAACUGAGGAUAAACCGCGAUAGGCCAUAAUUACUGGAAUGGGUUAUGGCUUAAACCUAUAUGGCCUCUGGAUUGGACUGCGGCCGAUCAGGCAGCUGGUGAGGUAAUGGCCCACCAAACCUGUUACCGGUACGGGCUCUGAGAGGAGGAGCCCGGAGAUGGGCACUGAGACAAGGGCCCAGGCCCUAUGGGGCGCAGCAGGCGCGAAACCUCUGCAAUAGGCGAAAGCCUGACAGGGUUACUCUGAGUGAUUCCCGCUAAGGGGAUCUUUUGGCACCUCUAAAAAUGGUGCAGAAUAAGGGGUGGGCAAGUCUGGUGUCAGCCGCCGCGGUAAUACCAGCACCCCGAGUGGUCGGGACGAUUAUUGGGCCUAAAGCAUCCGUAGCCGGUCAUGCAAGUCCUCCGUUAAAUCCACCUGCUCAACAGAUGGGCUGCGGAGGAUACUACAAGGCUAGGAGGCGGAAGAGGCAAGCGGUACUCAGUGGGUAGGGGUAAAAUCCUCUGAUCCAUUGAAGACCACCAGUGGCGAAGGCGGCUUGCCAAUACGCGCUCGACGGUGAGGGAUGAAAGCUGGGGGAGCAAACCGGAUUAGAUACCCGGGUAGUCCCAGCUGUAAACGAUGCAGACUCGGUGAUGGGCCGGCUUUAUGCCGGCUCAGUGCCGCAGGGAAGCCGUUAAGUCUGCCGCCUGGGGAGUACGGUCGCAAGACUGAAACUUAAAGGAAUUGGCGGGGGAGCACCACAGGGGGUGAAGCCUGCGGUUCAAUUGGABUCAACGCCGGRA